GCAGUGGGGAAUAUUGCACAAUGGGGGAAACCCUGAUGCAGCGACGCCGCGUGAGUGAAGAAGUAUUUCGGUAUGUAAAGCUCUAUCAGCAGGGAAGAAAUACUGACCAUAGGGUCAGCAGACGGUACUUGACUAAGAAGCCCCGGCUAACUACGUGCCAGCAGCCGCGGUAAUACGUAGGGGGCAAGCGUUAUCCGGAUUUACUGGGUGUAAAGGGAGCGUAGACGGCAGCGCAAGUCUGAAGUGAAAUGCCAGGGCUUAACCCUGGAACUGCUUUGGAAACUGUGCAGCUAGAGUGCAGGAGAGGUAAGUGGAAUUUCUAGUGUAGCGGUGAAAUGCGUAGAUAUUAGGAGGAACACCAGUGGCGAAGGCGGCUUACUAGACUGUAACUGACGUUGAGGCUCGAAAGCGUGGGGAGCAAACAGGAUUAGAUACCCUGGUAGUCCACGCUGUAAACGAUGAUUACUAGGUGUUGGGGGACCAAGGUUCUUCG
This 493-nucleotide ribosomal RNA is filed under the name uncultured bacterium. RNAcentral's name for it is "bacterial SSU rRNA". It matches the Rfam family "Bacterial small subunit ribosomal RNA", at positions 351 to 842 of the family's 1533-position model. The record is from RNAcentral.